CAGCUCACCAGUCUGGUAGGAACCAUUCAGUCCUCCUAUGCCUUCUUUCUCCAACUGUGUGGUCUUUCUUCUGAAACAAAGAAGAAAUAGCCAAAUCAGAAUUGCCCUCUUGGAAUUGUGGUCCAGAUUUCUCUACUCCCAAGCUUCACAAAU
Molecule: non-coding RNA, 153 nt
Organism: Echinops telfairi (small Madagascar hedgehog)
Lineage: Eukaryota; Metazoa; Chordata; Mammalia; Afrosoricida; Tenrecidae
Source: Rfam